UGGGGAAUAUUGGACAAUGGGCGCAAGCCUGAUCCAGCCAUGCCGCGUGAGUGACGAAGGCCUUAGGGUUGUAAAGCUCUUUUGGCGGGGACGAUAAUGACGGUACCCGCAGAAUAAGCCCCGGCUAACUUCGUGCCAGCAGCCGCGGUAAUACGAAGGGUGCUAGCGUUGUUCGGAAUUACUGGGCGUAAAGCGCACGUAGGCGGAUUUGUUAGUCAGGGGUGAAAUCCCGGGGCUCAACCUCGGAACUGCCUUUGAGACUGCAAGUCUCGAGUCCGGAAGAGGUGAGUGGAAUUCCUAGUGUAGCGGUGAAAUUCGUAGAUAUUAGGAAGAACACCAGUGGCGAAGGCGGCUCACUGGGCCGGUACUGACGCUGAGGUGCGAAAGCGUGGGGAGCAAACA
This 402-nucleotide ribosomal RNA is filed under the name uncultured prokaryote. RNAcentral describes it as "bacterial SSU rRNA". It matches the Rfam family "Bacterial small subunit ribosomal RNA", at positions 355 to 774 of the family's 1533-position model. The record is from RNAcentral.